GAUGAACGCUGGCGGCGUGCCUAAUACAUGCAAGUCGAGCGAACAGAUGAGGAGCUUGCUCCUCUGACGUUAGCGGCGGACGGGUGAGUAACACGUGGAUAACCUACCUAUAAGACUGGGAUAACUUCGGGAAACCGGAGCUAAUACCGGAUAAUAUAUUGAACCGCAUGGUUCAAUAGUGAAAGACGGUUUUGCUGUCACUUAUAGAUGGGUCCGCGCCGCAUUAGCUAGUUGGUAAGGUAACGGCUUACCAAGGCAACGAUGCGUAGCCGACCUGAGAGGGUGAUCGGCCACACUGGAACUGAGACACGGUCCAGACUCCUACGGGAGGCAGCAGUAGGGAAUCUUCCGCAAUGGGCGAAAGCCUGACGGAGCAACGCCGCGUGAGUGAUGAAGGUCUUCGGAUCGUAAAACUCUGUUAUUGGGGAAGAACAAAUGUGUAAGUAACUAUGCACGUCUUGACGGUACCUAAUCAGAAAGCCACGGCUAACUACGUG
Molecule: ribosomal RNA, 497 nt
Filed under: uncultured bacterium
Lineage: Bacteria
Description: partial 16S ribosomal RNA
Rfam family: Bacterial small subunit ribosomal RNA
Source: RNAcentral